This 301-nucleotide ribosomal RNA is filed under the name uncultured bacterium. RNAcentral's name for it is "partial 16S ribosomal RNA". It matches the Rfam family "Bacterial small subunit ribosomal RNA", at positions 509 to 807 of the family's 1533-position model. The record is from RNAcentral.
CAGUAGCCGCGGUAAUACAGAGGAUGCAAGCGUUAUUCGGAUUGAUUGGGUGUAAAGGGUGUGCAGACGGCUUAUUAAGUCACUUGUUAAAUUCUUCGGCCUAACUGAAGGUCUGCAAGUGAUACUGAUGAGCUAGAGGGUGGAAGAGAGAAGUGGAAUUCUCGGAGUAGCGGUAAAAUGCGUAGAUCUCGAGAGGAACACCAAUGGCGAAGGCAGCUUCUUGGUCCAUUCCUGACGUUCAUACACGAAAGCGUUGGGAGCAAACAGGAUUAGAGACCCGCGUAGUCCCUGUCUCUUAUAC